RNAcentral lists this long non-coding RNA (709 nucleotides) under Homo sapiens (human). RNAcentral describes it as "HSALNT0060105". The record is from RNAcentral. Lineage: Eukaryota; Metazoa; Chordata; Mammalia; Primates; Hominidae.
GGCAAGGCCACUGGUGUGGCUCAGGAAGACGAGGGGAUCAGGUUCCCUGUCAAAGGUCCACCUCUGUCUUACACGAGAAGCUGAUGGGGUCAAUCCAGCCGUCUGUUUAAUCCCAGCAACAAAGCCAGGCAUGACCAUGUAACAGUUUGGGCUGCUGAGCCAGAAGGGAAAGAGUACUACUGCUAGACUUCCAGGAAGGCUGCUCUAAGAAAGAUGACUCAGAGGUUGCACUUUUUUAGUUUUGGGGGUUUUUUUCCCUCUACUUCCUGCUUCUUGGAACUAGGACAUGAUGUCUGGAACUCUAGCAGCCAUUUUGGACCAUGAGGUGAUUGUGCGACUAGAAGACACAUCGUAGAAUGGAGCACCAAGACGAAAGCCCCCAAAGCUGCCCUAUAAGACCUGGACUUCAAACCAGCAAACUUCUUCCAUGUGAGAGAGAAAUAAGCUUAGGUUUUGUUUCUGCCAGUGUUAUCUUUGUUUUCGGUUAUGAGCCACUAAAUGUGAUCCCACUUGUUACCCCAGUCAUUCUCCCAACUUCCUAGACCCAUUAAUAGCAUUCUACACUCACAGUCCAUCAGUGGUGCAAGACUACAACACGAUUUUAAAUCCAAAAGUGAUAUAAAUGAUUUUGUGAUUCUGUGCUGCUGAGAUAUGUGCUUUUUUCAACUUGCAAAAUAUACUAUUGAAAUCUAUAGUUAAAAAAAAAAGA